GUGAUGAAGGUCUUCGGAUCGUAAAACUCUGUUAUUAGGGAAGAACAUAUGUGUAAGUAACUGUGCACAUCUUGACGGUACCUAAUCAGAAAGCCACGGCUAACUACGUGCCAGCAGCCGCGGUAAUACGUAGGUGGCAAGCGUUAUCCGGAAUUAUUGGGCGUAAAGCGCGCGUAGGCGGUUUUUUAAGUCUGAUGUGAAAGCCCACGGCUCAACCGUGGAGGGUCAUUGGAAACUGGAAAACUUGAGUGCAGAAGAGGAAAGUGGAAUUCCAUGUGUAGCGGUGAAAUGCGCAGAGAUAUGGAGGAACACCAGUGGCGAAGGCGACUUUCUGGUCUGUAACUGACGCUGAUGUGCGAAAGCGUGGGGAUCAAACAGGAUUAGAUACCCUGGUAGUCCACGCCGUAAACGAUGAGUGCUAAGUGUUAGGGGGUUUCCGCCCCUUAGUGCUGCAGUUAACGCAUUAAGCACUCCGCCUGGGGAGUACGACCGCAAGGUGAAACUCAAAGGAAUUGACGGC
This 520-nucleotide ribosomal RNA is filed under the name uncultured bacterium. Its description in RNAcentral is "bacterial SSU rRNA". It matches the Rfam family "Bacterial small subunit ribosomal RNA", at positions 405 to 917 of the family's 1533-position model. The record is from RNAcentral.